This 330-nucleotide long non-coding RNA is filed under the name dengue virus type 2. RNAcentral describes it as "Dengue virus 2 partial sfRNA1". The record is from RNAcentral. Lineage: Riboviria; Orthornavirae; Kitrinoviricota; Flasuviricetes; Amarillovirales; Flaviviridae.
CAGAAGUCAGGUCGGAUCAAGCCAUAGUACGGAAAAAACUAUGCUACCUGUGAGCCCCGUCCAAGGACGUAAAAAGAAGUCAGGCCACUACAAGUGCCAUAGCUUGAGUAAACUAUGCAGCCUGUAGCUCCACCUGAGAAGGUGUAAAAAAUCUGGGAGGCCACAAACCAUGGAAGCUGUACGCAUGGCGUAGUGGACUAGCGGUUAGAGGAGACCCCUCCCUUACAAAUCGCAGCAACAAUGGGGGCCCAAGGUGAGAUGAAGCUGUAGUCUCACUGAAAGGACUAGAGGUUAGAGGAGACCCCCCCGAAAUAAAAAACAGCAUAUKAC